CCAGGUUCUCCUUCCCCAGUCACCAGUUGCUCGAGUUAGAAUUGUCUGCAAUGGCCGCCCUGCAGAAAUCUGUGAGCUCUUUCCUUAUGGGGACCCUGGCCACCAGCUGCCUCCUUCUCUUGGCCCUCUUGGUACAGGGAGGAGCAGCUGCGCCCAUCAGCUCCCACUGCAGGCUUGACAAGUCCAACUUCCAGCAGCCCUAUAUCACCAACCGCACCUUCAUGCUGGCUAAGGAGCUAGCUUGGCUGAUAACAACACAGACGUUCGUCUCAUUGGGGAGAAACUGUUCCACGGAGUCAGAUGAGUGAGCGCUGCUAUCUGAUGAAGCAGGUGCUGAACUUCACCCUUGAAGAAGUGCUGUUCCCUCAAUCUGAUAGGUUCCAGCCUUAUAUGCAGGAGGUGGUGCCCUUCCUGGCCAGGCUCAGCAACAGGCUAAGCACAUGCAUAUUGAAGGUGAUGACCUGCAUAUCCAGAGGAAUGUGCAAAAGCUGAAGGACACAGUGAAAAACUUGGAGAGAGUGGAGAGAUCAAAGCAAUUGGAGAACUGGAUUUGCUGUUUAUGUCUCUGAGAAAUGCCUGCAUUUGACCAGAGCAA
Molecule: long non-coding RNA, 595 nt
Filed under: Homo sapiens (human)
Lineage: Eukaryota; Metazoa; Chordata; Mammalia; Primates; Hominidae
Description: non-protein coding lnc-MDM1-2:1
Source: RNAcentral